Molecule: ribosomal RNA, 266 nt
Filed under: uncultured bacterium
Lineage: Bacteria
Description: partial 16S ribosomal RNA
Rfam family: Bacterial small subunit ribosomal RNA
Source: RNAcentral
GACAGAGGAGCCAAGCGUUGUCCGGAUUGACUGGGCGUAAAGCGCACGCAGGCGGACGCGCGCGUGGGGUGUGAAAUCUGGCCGCUUAACGGCCAGGCGCCAUCCCAUACGGCGCGUCUGGAGUGAUGCAGAGGUCGAUGGAAUUGCCGGUGUAGUGGUGAAAUGCGUAGAGAUCGGCAGGAACACCCAGGGGAAACCAGUCGACUGGGCCAUCUACUGACGCUGAGGUGCGAGAGCGUGGGAGCGAACCGGAUUAGAAAGCCCCG